This 460-nucleotide ribosomal RNA is filed under the name uncultured bacterium. RNAcentral describes it as "partial 16S ribosomal RNA". It matches the Rfam family "Bacterial small subunit ribosomal RNA", at positions 338 to 795 of the family's 1533-position model. The record is from RNAcentral.
CCUACGGGAGACAGCAGUGAGGAAUAUUGGUCAAUGGACGAGAGUCUGAACCAGCCAAGUAGCGUGAAGGAUGACUGCCCUAUGGGUUGUAAACUUCUUUUAUAUGGGAAUAAAAUGUUCCACGUGUGGGAUUUUGUAUGUACCAUAUGAAUAAGGAUCGGCUAACUCCGUGCCAGCAGCCGCGGUAAUACGGAGGAUCCGAGCGUUAUCCGGAUUUAUUGGGUUUAAAGGGAGCGUAGGUGGUUUGUUAAGUCAGUUGUGAAAGUUUGCGGCUCAACCGUAAAAUUGCAGUUGAAACUGGCAGUCUUGAGUACAGUAGAGGUGGGCGGAAUUCGUGGUGUAGCGGUGAAAUGCUUAGAUAUCACGAAGAACUCCGAUUGCGAAGGCAGUUCACUGGACUGCAACUGACACUGAGGCUCGAAAGUGUGGGUAUCAAACAGGAUUAGAUACCCCAGUAGUC